This 284-nucleotide long non-coding RNA is filed under the name Notechis scutatus (mainland tiger snake). Its description in RNAcentral is "lncRNA (ENSNSUG00000009955.1)". The record is from RNAcentral. Lineage: Eukaryota; Metazoa; Chordata; Lepidosauria; Squamata; Elapidae.
UUGCACAGCCAUUAAUUGGCAAAAUGAUAAUCUCUCUACCAAACUGCAUUGUAAUCCUUCAGAUACUAUGACUGAUGGCCCUCCAGUCCAAAAAAGGCAUUCUGAUCUAUCAGGAAGAAUGUCUGCUCCAGAUCUUGGUCCUUCUGUAACAACACUGAUCAACUGUGGGCCAAGAACAUCUUCUCCUUCAACUGCAGUUCUUGAUGGAAUAGUUAACAUUGGUUGUAAACCAUCUUUCCCGGGGGGGCCCAUGAUGACAUCCCCAGCAGUUGGGCCUUUGCCAC